AAAACAUUCCUGAAACCUGAUUUUCUGCUACUGAACAAUGCUAAUUGUUGACCAUUUACACAGCAGUGUCCUCACAUGGAUGAGAUUCAAAAGGACAUCGUCGUCCUCUGACCUGGAGGCUUUACUGAGCUCUUUACGGUCCAUAAAACCACAGAAUCUGAGCAUCACUCUGAAUUCCAGUUAUCCCAGUAUGGAGAGUUAUAGUGGUUCCUUCCACUUCCUGCAGUGUGACCGUCUCGUCUCCAGCUGCACACAGUAAACCUGCACCACAGCUUCAGCUUCAGAUUAAUCAUUUCACUCACAAUCAUAAUCACACACAGUCCAUUAAAACUAUACCGUGCUCCAGAUUUGUGAUUUCAGAUGAUGUGAUUUCUAUUUCAAAAUGCAGAAAUAUUACAUUUCAGGGAAUCUGAUGUUCUGCAGCAAAUAUAUUGUUACAUAUUAGUGCUUAUUAUUAUUAUUAUUAUUAUAUAUUACUACAGUGCUGCAUCUAUUACUAGAUAUGUCACUAGUCCCUCCAGGAUUUAGCAGUUUUUCAAUCGCAGAAAUUAAUGAAAAAUCAAGCAAACGCCGCAAUACGAGUUUGCAAUUUUUCAAAAUUACCGCAGAUUUGGGCCGAGACGUGUCAUGUGACAUCACAGCGUGCAUUCAGUCAAAUCCCUCUUGGAUUCAUGUGCGUCGAACACGAGUACAGUUAAAAGUUCUCAUUUACCAACAAAUUUACCAAUUUUCCACAAAAAAACACAAACUCUGCAAAUUCCAUCACAAAAUUUGAAAAAAAAUCCAGCAUUUUUGGCCGCAACAAUCACAAAAAAAACUCCAUGAAAUCCAGUUCGGACUGUGUUCCAAUACAACGAUCUAUAUUCAGUGCCUUGCAAAAAUAUUCAACCCCUUAAAAGUCAUGAGAUUGGUCUGGAUUAUAAAGGACACUUACACAGAUUGUUCCAGUCAGUAUUUUUAUUGCAAACCAAUCUGCUCAUAAAGCACAUUUUCAAAGUCAAAAUUCAUUAUUUGUCAGCAGAGCUUUAAAAACUGAAAAAUGCUGUUCGCAUAAGUAUUCACCCCCCUCCAGACUAGUACCUGGUAGAAGCAGCUUUGGCUGCAGUAACAGCUGUGAGUGUGUUGGGAGUUGGUGAAGUUCAUACCAGCUCUGCACACUGUUUGGAAUUUUCACCCAUUCUUCCUGCCAGAUUUGUUCCAGGUUCUUCAGGUUGGGUGGAUGUACUUUAUUGACUGCAAUUUUUUAAACAGUGCUACAGAUUCCCAAUGGGAUUCAGAUCUGGACUUUGACUUGGCCACUGUAGAACAUUCACCUUUUUGUUUUUAACUGCUCCUACACUGCUUUGGUCUUGUCUUUGGGACCACUGAUGAAAGGUGAAGUAUCCACCAAGCAUUAGGUUUGUUUGUUUUUUAGCUGACUGAAGCAGGUUCUCUUGUAAUAGAUAUUGAUCCAACAGUGCUUACUGGGAUAUUCAACCAAUUGUAUAUAAUUUUACACCCUAUUCCUAAGUUGUAAAAUUAUAUUAUCUUACCUUUACCUUCUUUAGAAUGCUCCUUAGCCUUCAUUUUCACUUCUUUCUUCAGACUGAACAUCACUUCAGUGUCAGUUCAACUUGGGUGGCUUUUGUUCAGAAAAUAGGAGCUGUUUUAAUAUUUCACAGGUGAAGGUCAAUUAUAAGUCAGUUGUGUCCUCGUUCAGACAAUAUCUUUCAUCUGGAGCUUUGAGAUACUUACUGACCGAUAAUUAAUUUAGACUGAAACUUCACUGUAAGAGAACACGAGUCUGCAAUAAAAAUACUGAGAGGAAGAAUAUUUUCAUUUAUUAUUUGUAAUUCAGACCAAUCUGAUAAAUUCUAGGGAGUUACAUACUUUUGCAAGACACUGUACAUUUAAAUAACAUUGGGAGGAAUUUGCAUAUAUUUACAAAUAUAGUGCACAGAAUUAUCUAAUAUAUUUCUAUUAAAUAAGGAGAGACGUUGGUGUUGAGAAAUAUGAAAGAGGAUUUCCACUGAAAAAUAACAUCAAUGUACAAGUACAAUUCACUAUAUGGGUCAUUUCUGUCUGGUUUUCAUUAAUCACAUGGUAGACUAUGGAAGUUAUAGCUACACAUGAGAAAAUAGAGAAUUAAAGUGGAAAACAUCACAAAUCAGCACAAUGAUCCAGUACACCAUGGAUUUAUAAUCUUAAGAAUCCUAAAUCAAUAACCACAAGCUGUAUUUACCAUACAGUCAAAACACUUUAACUGCAAACAUUAUUUUAAUUGCAAAAAAAGUGUAUUAAACUGGACUUUUCCCUGUUACUGGUGUGGAACCAUCCAGAAAACACCUUCAGUACCUUAAUGUGUACCUGUAAAAUGACUCUAAACUCUAAUUAAGGUAUAUUAUUAAGGUAGUUAUUAAUGUAAUUGUGUUCUUAAAUCAUUUUAAAAGUAAAGAUGUGAAUACAUUAUGAUGAACCACACUGACAAUGAAAAGUACUGUUUAGUGUUUAUCUGUGAGAGUUUAAUAAAAGGAAAUAAACUAA
Long non-coding RNA from Ictalurus punctatus (channel catfish), 2523 nucleotides. RefSeq lists it as uncharacterized. The record is from RefSeq and is a predicted model, not a curated record. The transcript is spliced from 2 exons. NCBI's taxonomy places the organism in Eukaryota, Metazoa, Chordata, Actinopteri, Siluriformes, Ictaluridae.